RNAcentral lists this ribosomal RNA (329 nucleotides) under uncultured eukaryote. RNAcentral's name for it is "partial 18S ribosomal RNA". It matches the Rfam family "Eukaryotic small subunit ribosomal RNA", at positions 1470 to 1796 of the family's 1831-position model. The record is from RNAcentral.
CCCUUAGAUGUUCUGGGCCGCACGCGCGCUACACUGAUGCAUUCAACGAGUCUAAAACCUGCUCUGAUAGGGGUGGGUAAUCUUUUGAACGUGCAUCGUGAUUGGGAUAGAUGAUUGCAAUUUUUCAUCUUCAACGAGGAAUGCCUAGUAAACGCAAGUCAUCAGCUUGCAUUGAUUACGUCCCUGCCCUUUGUACACACCGCCCGUCGCUCCUACCGAUUGAAUGAUCCGAUGAAUAUCAUGGAUUGAGGAUGCAAGUAGGUUCGCCUAUCUUCAUCUUCGAGAAGUGAAGUAAAUCUUAUCAUUUAGAGGAAGGAGAAGUCGUAACA